Molecule: non-coding RNA, 118 nt
Filed under: Candidatus Hoaglandella endobia
Lineage: Bacteria; Pseudomonadati; Pseudomonadota; Gammaproteobacteria; Enterobacterales; Enterobacteriaceae
Description: S15
Rfam family: Ribosomal S15 leader
About the family: The E. coli Ribosomal S15 gene 5' UTR can form two alternative structures. One that is a series of three hairpins, The other includes a pseudoknot.
Source: RNAcentral
GCUGGUUGCUGCAGUUAGAGAUCAGCGACCAUCUAUUUUACAAUCAUUUUGGGGUGUUAUAAUGUCUCUAAGUGUUGAGGCGAAAGCAAAGAUUAUUUCUGAUUUCGGCUAUGAUGCC